Molecule: ribosomal RNA, 253 nt
Filed under: uncultured bacterium
Lineage: Bacteria
Description: partial 16S ribosomal RNA
Rfam family: Bacterial small subunit ribosomal RNA
Source: RNAcentral
GACAGAGGUCCCAAGCGUUGGGCGGAAUCACUGGGCUUAAAGCGUGUGUAGGCGGAUUUGUAAGUACCUUGUGAAAUCCCACGGCUCAACCGUGGAACUGCUUGGUAUACUGCUUAUCUUGGGCCAUCUAGGGGCGAGCGGAACAAACGGUGGAGCGGUGAAAUGCGUAGAUAUCGUUUGGAACGCCAAUGGUGAAAACAGCUCGCUGGGGAUGUGCCGACGCUGAGAUACGAAAGCCAGGGGAGCGAACGGG